GACCAUCAAUGAUUUAUUUUAUCCUGCAGAUGAGGAAAAGAUUGGUGAGGUGAAAGACAAAGAUGAUAGUUAUGGGUUGUUAGAAGAAAUUGAUAUGCCAGAAAAUUGUCAAAUGGAUGGAAUUGAAUAUCUAGGCCCUCCCAUUGAUGACACUAUGUUUUAGUUUCAACAUGUAUUGAUUCCAUUAGCAUCUUAUACAAAUUGUUCCAACCUUUUUUUUUCUUCCCUUUGUGUAUACACUAAGAAUUAAUGUGUGGUUUUUGUUCUUUAGUGGUAAAUUUUAAGUUGAAAAGUAUAUUUAGAUCAUAGUGUAAUUGUUCGUUUUUUUUUUCUUUCUUAAAUAUCACUUUGAUCCUUUAACUUAUUUUAAAAAUUAUGUUCGGUCCCUUAACUUUAAAAUAGUUUAAUUUGGUCUUUUCCUUUACGUGAUUGGUAAAGGCUGUCACAAUUUCUUUAGUUGAAAUCAGAACAUUGAAGCACUUGAAAUGAGACUGAAGUAAAAGAAAAUUGCUCUUCUCUCAUUUAUUUCACAUUCCCACCCUACACGCUAAAAAUACACGCACGGCUAUUUGAAGGGAAUGAAUAAAAACAUGGGAGAAGAGCAAUUAAAGAAAAAAUGCGGGUUUGAAAGAUUGAAAGGGUAAUUUGGAGGCAUGUACAGCCCACUCUAAGUUUUUGCUAUCCACACCCUUCAACUCUUUUUCAAUUACACUCGCCAUCGUUCACACAAUCAAUUUCAUUUCCUUUUUCUUUUUUGAUAAGGAAAAAUUUAGAAAGAAAAAAACAGAUUGGAUUAGAUGAAAAAAAUAGACAUAUCUUUCACCUUUUUGAUUUGGUAAACUUGGAUUAGAUGAAUGUUGUUUCUAAAAAUAAAUUUGGUAAACUUUUUUUUUUGAUAAAAAUAUAUGAUAUGCAUUCAUUCAAAUUGAUAGAGUACAUUGAUACAAUGUAAAUUCGCUAAAAACAAAAGAGAUGAAUCUGUGAACAAACUCACAGCAUCCAUGUUAAUAACAUAACACGGCAAAAUACAAAAACCUACACUUAUGACUAUAUUCAAGUCUCCGAAAUACUCAUGUCUCAGGAUCUGCAACGUUGAUGACGCCAAAUUCAUUGAUUGGAUUUGCACUGGAUCUAAGCUGAUUUGACAAUCUGAACCGAACAAAUACAUGAACAAAACAAAACAAACUUCGCACAAAGACGACGAACAACACAACGUCGUACUAAGACGACAAAAUCACGAAAGAGAAAACGAAAUAGAUGUAAAAAUCACUUAUUUCAAUAAAAAAGAAAAAGAAAAACGGGUUAGAGGGGUGGUUUUGGGUCAAAUUGACCCUAAAUCACCCCUCUUUGAUAGAUGAAGUAAAAGAAACUAUGGUUUUGGUGAUGGCUCACAAGAGAGAAGGAGAAGAGAGAGAUAAAUUUGAUAAACUUGAAAGAAACAACUUGAAUAAUUCUAUAUCCAAAAUACCAUUAAUGUUGAUUUUAAAACAUUGCUCUCAAGUUCCAAAUCACAAUAGAUAACUAACAUGUUAUGUUUCGGUGUUUUCGUUCCUUGCUUCUAAGUACACAUUAAGAAUAGGAGCCUCAAUACACAACUACAUUGUCAAAGCCAACCAAUAGAUGUGGAAGUUGCUUGCAAAGAUGAAGUUGAUUGUAAUUGUUGGCGACGACAAAGACAAUUGCUACGCUAUGAUUAAGUUUAUUCACUAUGGUUUUUCAUUUUUUUCUUUUUUUUCAAAUGCCCCAUUAUAACCCUAAAGACCCCAUAAGUGUGUAGUUGUGUAUCAUGUUGAUUAAAUUGCUUAGAAUAUUUUCAAUCCUAUGGUAAAAUGGUAUAGGUGUAAUGAUUGGGUGACAUACCAAAUCAAACACAUUAGAGAAUUGGUGGGAGGGUGUGAAAAGGAAGUUUAUUAUGUAUGAUUAAAUUAUUUUGAAAAAUUCCUUGAACUUGCCUGAAUUGAAGUUUCAAGAAUGAAAGUGAUAUAUAAGCUUUAUCACUAAAGUAAACAUGUGGAAAAUAUUGUUUAAAUUGGGGUUGAUGUUGAUCAAGGAGAUUUGUUAAGACAUGCAACAAUUCAAGUUUAGUCAUGUUUGUAGAGUCUUUUAGUAUGAUUUUGAGUUUUUAAUUGUGAAUUUAGCCAAAUAUUGCAAGGAGUGAGAUUUUUUCCACUUAUGUAGAAGAAAUAGAAAAAAAAAUAUAUAUAUAUAGAAAUGUUGAAGUGUAGCACUAAUCCCACAAGUACACGGUACACGCAUAAACGGUCAAUCUAAAACCAAAGUGAAAGUCAAUCUAAAACCAGCACAGAUACCAUAUUAAUCUAGUUUUACAAAAUGAUUUGGCAUCCUAAAAACAACAAACAACAUCAUAAUCCCCUAAAAAAAAUGACAGCAUAUUCUCAAAACAAAACAAUACAUGUAUCUAUAACUAUUAAAUACUACCAUUGAUAAACAAUUACAAGAGUUGAAUAGUAGAUUUAGUGAGCAGGCAAUGGAUUUGUUAACUCUAAGUUGUGCUUUGACUCCUAAGGAUAAUUAUAAAGCUUUUGAUGUUGACACUAUUUGCACUCUUGUUGAAAAAUACUAUCCAUGAAUUUCAAUUAUCAAGAGAAUAUUCAAUUAUGUUAUCAACUCGAGCAAUUCUUUGUUGAUACCCACAAAGAACCAUGUUUGAAGAAUUUAUCAACUAUUCAAGAUUUAUGCUCGUGUUUGGUUGCAACUGAGAGGAAUAAAAUUUACUUCUUGAUUGAUAGACUACUUCGCCUUAUCAUGACUCUUCCAGUUUCUACAGCCACAACUGAGAAACAAGAUGGGAAGUGGGUUUCUAAAUGAUAGCAUGACGGUUUAUAUCGAAAGGGAAAUUAGUGCAAGUAUUAGUUCUGAGUUAGUUAUUAAUUAUUUCAAGUUUGGAUUGCGUAACGACUUAUUUUAAUUUUCUAAGGUAUGUAGUUUACUUUUUUGAUGAAACUUUGUGCUUAGCGUUUAUUACAAGAGAAAAAUUUAUGUUUAUAUAUUAGAGUAUGUUUUGUUGGCCCACCCCAAAUAUUUUUUCUAGCUCCACCACCGGUACUUAUUAUGUAUGUUAUUCAACAUUGUAAUGUCACGUGUAUAUUCAAAUAUUGUAGUGCAAUAUGUAAGGUUAUUGUAUAAUUGAUGUUUGAGUUGCCAUGUGUAUUUCUAUGUGAAAUGUAUGUUGUGAUGAAUGUGUGUCUCAUGUUUUUUUUUAUGCAUGUGUUCCAUAUUUUGUUUAUCUUUCAAACGUAAAUAUGUGUUCCAUAAUUUUUAAUAUUUAUUAGUGAAAAAUAUUUGUCUCGUGUUUUAUUAAUGAAUCAACUACAAAUAUUUUCCUUGUGGCUUGUUAUAUUCUUCACUCAUAAGUAUUUGUUGUGUAAUUGAUUCUUCACUUUAAUUGUUCAUAAAUGCUAAUUAGAAUUUGAAUUUUUGUUAUUAUUGUAUUUAUUAUGUACGUUAUUCAACAUUGUAGUGUCACAUGUAAUAUUCAAACAUUGUAGUGCAACAUGUAAGGUUAUUGUAUAUUCGAUGUUUGAGUUGUCAUGUGUAUUUCUAUGUGAAAUGUAUGUUGUGAUGGAUAUUUGUCUCAUGUUUUAUUUAUGCACAUGUCCCGUAUUUUGUUUAUCAUUCAAACGUAAAUAUGUAUUCCGUGAUUUUUAAUAUUUAUCAGUGAAAAAUAUUUGAAGAAGAACAGAGUGAAGCAAGUUAUAACAAAAUGUGAGAGAUUGCAAUCGUUUUCUCUUCGAAUGUGAUCAUUAUCAUUGGUUGAAGAUGACACUUUCCAAUGAACGGAGGGUAGCAUUAAGGAAGGAAUUCACAUGGUUCUCAACUCAUGGUGGGAGAUUUAGAACCUUACCGAUUUUCAUAUCAGUGCCAACUUGUCCAAAACCUCCAUUGAUCAUAUGUGCGACAACAUUUGUUCUUGGUUCAUCGACUCUAAUGAAGCUCGCGGUCUUAAUUCUGCAGUUGAUUCACUUCCGCAAUUCAUGGGUCCACAACAUAUGUGUGGUUUCGCCGGAGAGCUGGAUUUUUUUUAUGAGAGUGUGGAUGGGGUUUUCCGAACAACUAUUCUUAAUAUAUCAAGAAUGCUCCAAAGGGGAUUUUCAUUCUAAUGAUUUAAUCAAACAGGCAAAUGUUAUCCUAGUUCGUUGUGAAAUGCAGGAAGCUGGUCAAAAAGAAUCCAAGGUUCCACAAGGGUCAAAGGUUUAUUUGGAAGGAUUAACUCCUUUGCCUACAUACCCUUAAAGAAAAGGGAUCAAAACCAAUGUAGUUCCCCUAAGGAAUUUCUUUGGUGGGUUGGAUUGAUUUUAGAAGUUUUGAAAAUGGUUUGAAGAAGAGAUAAGAGGCUUCAAGGCAUGAGAGAAAAUAAGAUGAGGUUGGUCAAAUUUUAAUUACAAGAAAUUCAAGUCUAAUAUGGAUAUUAAAUUGAUUAAACAUUUGAUUAAGAAAAUAAAAGGAAAAAGCACUUGGGUUAAAAUCCAAGGUUUACUAAGAAAAUAUUUUUUGAAGUUUUGCAUAUUUGAUUUUUUUUGGGAAAAUGAUUUUUUCUAAACUAACGGUAAAAGCUAGCGUAACGGCGUAACGUAACAAGAAAUAAAUAUGAAGUGUCGGUGCGUUGUGUUAUUACAUCAAUUCCUAGAUACAUUCUAUGGUCUCAAUAUAAAUAUAAUAGCGAGAAAUAAAAUGCGCAAAAUAAAUUACAUCAAUUUUCUAAUUAUACACACUAAAUUAAUGAUGGCAAGAAUUAAAUAUGCAUGCAAUAAUUCUAAGUAAAAUUAUACUAUAAGUAAGCACAAAAUAGAUUGAGCAUGAAAUAAACCACAAUUAAUGAUAAACAAACAAAUACCAAGAGAAAGUAGUGAAGAUAAGCAAUUAAAAACAACUUUUAAAGCUAGAAAGUUUUAAAAAGAGGAAAAUAAAUUUUUAACAUAAAAAGAGACAUUAAAAUAACAAAAAUGGUGAAAAAUAUAUGAAAAAUAGUGGAGAAAUAAUAAAAAAACAAUAAUUGGCUCAGCUGAGAUGAAUCAAGAGGUCCCAAUUCAAUCACUACAUAGGCUCAUUACAGCCAUAAGAUUAAUCAAGAGGUUAUAAACAAAUAAACACACAUAGAGACAGUGUACUGUAUCUCAAACAGGAGCAUCCUAGGGCGUUGGAUCUGUAAUCCAACGGCCUAGUUCUGGAGUUGCACAGAUACACCGUAAGCAGCAAACACACGAACAAAGAUGGAACAUACAGUAGCCAUCAGAUCUUGGAACAAUCCAGAUAUGAUGGCUAGAGACCUUAAGGAGCAUGGUAAACAGGAAAACGUACACACAUGGAAUUUGACCAUACAAAAUAUAAUAUAUAAGCAAAUUCCUCGACACCGCCUCCUUUCUCCUUAUGAACACCACCGCCUCCUUCAUCUUCUCCGGCGAGAAGUGAACACUCCGGCGCGGUGGCUGGCCACCCUAGGGUGGUGGCGCCGCCGCCGGCAACCUCCCAAACUCCUCAGAUUAAAAAAAAAAACAACAAGUUUCUAACAUCCUUUUUUGUGUUGAUUUCAUAUAUCACCUUAGAUUUUCACAAAACAAAACCAAAAGUCCUAGAUCUAGCUUUUUAGUUUCGAAUUUUUUUCAAAGAAACGAUGAACACGAAGAACAAAGGAAGCGUUACCUCUGUUUGAAUCGGAGAAAUCAACACUAACGCGACGGAAACUUCAACAAAGCUCGAUCUAAAACCGCACCAAUUUUAACUUCUUCCUUUCUCUGCCGUUUCCGAUCCGAGAAUAUUAUUGCUGAUUGAUUCUGCUUUGUGGGCCGUGAAUAUGUUCGGUGAAUCUGGUUUGGAUUUGUGUUGGGUAUGGUAGAUGAUGAGUUUGAUCCCGAAAAAAAAAAAUUAGUGUUAGUAUUGUGGUUGUUUAUGAUCUUCGGAUUUGUGUGAUUUGUGAAGGUUUAUGGUGUUGAUUUGUAUUUCUGAAAAGGGUUAAGGUUCAUGUGUUCUUGAGAUUGUUCAUAAUUUUCGUGAAGUUUUUUUGUGGUUUGAUCUACAAAAGAAGAGAGAGAAAGUUGAGAAGUGUUUGUAAUAAAAGUGGCUGAAAUUUCUGACGAAACUUAGAGAAAAAGAUUGCAAGGAUCAAUGAAUGACUGCCAAGUAUACUGGACUUAAGACUUUAAUAUAAAAAAAAACAAGUUAAAAGGG
RNAcentral lists this long non-coding RNA (6186 nucleotides) under Medicago truncatula (barrel medic). Its description in RNAcentral is "long non-coding RNA (MTRU_LNC005421)". Lineage: Eukaryota; Viridiplantae; Streptophyta; Magnoliopsida; Fabales; Fabaceae. The record is from RNAcentral.